UACAGAGGUCCCAAGCGUUGUUCGGAUUCACUGGGCGUAAAGGGUGCGUAGGUGGCGGGGCAAGUCUGAUGUGAAAUCUCCGAGCUUAACUCGGAAACUGCAUCGGAUACUGCUUCGCUCGAGGGUUGGAGGGGGGACUGGAAUACUUGGUGUAGCAGUGAAAUGCGUAGAUAUCAAGUGGAACACCAGUGGCGAAGGCGAGUCCCUGGACAACUCCUGACACUGAGGCACGAAAGCUAGGGGAGCAAACAGG
RNAcentral lists this ribosomal RNA (253 nucleotides) under uncultured bacterium. RNAcentral's name for it is "partial 16S ribosomal RNA". It matches the Rfam family "Bacterial small subunit ribosomal RNA", at positions 524 to 776 of the family's 1533-position model. The record is from RNAcentral.